AUAAAUUAGUUCCGAUGGCCAAACAGUUCAGUAAAAAAGCUUAACCUAAAAUUCUGAUUCAUAUUGUUUCACAAAAAGAAAAAAAAGAAAUAACCUCAAAAAGGUAAUUUCAUUCAACACAGGUGACAGGGAUGCAGGGGCAUCUCUGGUAAAUGUAUAAGAUGAACACUUGUUCUAGUAUUUUACAACAUGCAUAACAUGUUUAACCUUUAAGCUGCAUAAGUAUUAAAACAAAAUGCUGGACAGUUUGGUAAAUGUUUGCUCUCUUACAGCUACUCAAAUAACUAUUUGAAAUACAAAUGCAUGUUCAUGAGAUAAAACGCUUCUCCCAACAGACAGUCAUUUGUUCAUUCUUUUCCUUUAAUCCUGACAGUUUGCACCAAUCUGUUUUGUAAACAGUGUACUAAUGCACAGUAUGGUCCAAAAAUAAAGACAGCAACAAAAAAGAGAUGUUCAUUGAUGCAUUUCACUUGGUCAUGAUUCACAUCGUAAAAUACACAAAUUAUAGUAGUUCUACAUUGUUUUAUUUCAAUAAUCAUCCUCAUCCUUUACCACAUGGCCUGCAGAUUUAUGGUUUCUUUAAAUUGGAAAAUUGUUUGUGUUGAUCUGAAGGCAGCGAGUCACAUCCGCCCUACGGCCGCAUUAACUGCAGUGAGGCAGCAGUGUGAAGCCGAAGAGAAGAAGUAAGGGGUGUUGGCUAAGCAGGCUCUCUAGCCAAUAGUGUGAAAGCACUGGUUACCAUGGGAACACAUUAAUUAUUUAACAGUUUGGAUGAAGCCUCUGCCCUGCUGGUAGUCUUUGUGGCUUUAUUGUCCCCAGGGUCUUCAGCCAAGUGAUGCAAUGCCAGUAGGACAUGAUAUACAUUGACCGUGAUGCUGAGAGACAAGAGACAGACACACUGUCCCAACUGACAGAAGAGCAAGAUGAUAGAUUGAUAAAUGGGGAACGAUCAUGGACAGAUGGGUGAAUGGACCUGAGUGGGAGAAAGAAAGCAAGCUCUGUAGCGAGUGCGUUUUCGUCGCUCCUUGUGGUCAGCGGGGACUUGUGAUGAUUUCAUGCUGGGGACGCAGUCUGGACUUACUGUCAUUGUCUGUACAUGAGGUCUCUGUGUCUGCGUUCACUGUGAUCGGAUCACCAAGCUUGCGUUGUGACUGGAUCAGAGCCAUCGGUAAAUUCUUUCCGUCUGCCAUCUGUUACAGCUGCAUUAUUAAGAAAAACAUCUGUUUUGAAAGUUACAGAAAGUCAAGUUACUCCUCUUUCUUUUGGAAACGAUAAAAAUGAAAGAUUUACAUUGUGGCUAUUUUAAUCUGUGCUGUAAGUUUAGGUCUACAAAUAAUUUAAUUAUUGUGCAAAUUCUCAUCCAGUAAAAUGCAGGUAAUGCAUGUAAUUCCAUGCAUAAAUCAGACUGACAAGUAAUUUUUAGUCUUUAAAAGCUAAUUCAAGUAGGUUUAUUUGUUUCUCCAUCUAUUAUUAAUUUUUUAUUCAGAGUGUUGGCUGUUGCUAAAAAGAAUAAUAUUUCUUUAUAAACCAUUUAUUUUAUCUUAAUAUUUAUUCAGUUUGCAUUUUGAAUGCUGGAAGAUAAAUUGUGUAUAAAACAGGCGGUCAAUGCAGUGGUCUCACAUGAAGUCCAGGUCUACAUGUUAGGCUCUGUUUCACAUCUAUAAUUUUUUACAGCAAUAAUUUUGUUGUUGUCUGACCCACAUCCACCUGCAAUAGACUCCAGACACGCUCUUCAUCUGCUGCAUUGACUUCAGUCUGAAUGAGAAAAAUCCUGAUAGAUCAAGUCAACACAGCCUCAGCUGUCAGAAUAAUCUGGUCAGAUUUCCUAAAUCAGCUUUCUUCAUUUUUUUAAGCUAUAAUACCGUGAGGCGAGGCCAGGGAGGGAGGUAUAUUCCAGUCUAAUCCAAUGUACCUGUAUACGCUGUCGAACGUUUAAUCAAACUCAUGUAGUGUUUACUCAGGUUGAGAUUAUCUUGCAUUAUUCCGCUUUGUUUGCCUCUUGCAUGAGAAUUGGGUAGCGGGAUUAAGCAGGAAACCCAGGUUAGUGUAAUGCAUCUGCGUGUAGUUUUAGUGAUCCCGCUGGGCUGCACUGGUCCGCUGUGAUAGUUACAAUACACACUGCAGGCAUCAUACUACAAUAGUGUGUUUUGUCAUAUGUAGUCUCAGUAAUGGACUCAAUAGCUCAGUCUGUCAGUCAUCUGGGGACAACAGUGGCCAGUGUAUUUCCCUGUGUUGCCCUGAGGCAUUGUUUCAUGUCUUCUUGCCGUUUCAAUGUGGUUUCAUGGUGCUCAUUCAAAAUAUGAUGGCACAUAAUAGCGGCUGCACUCCCACAUUACAGAUGCUCUCACCAGUGAAAUCCUUUUGGGAUUUUAUGAAAUGUGUUAGGGGUCUAAGAUGAAGACUUUACUGGAAAUGUGCAUACACAAGCGCAGAUGUGAGCAUCUGUUUGUCCAUAUGCAGAUUGCAGUGGAAGCCUGGUUGUGCUGACUUGGGACAGCAGCAUCCACAGCUGUCCAGAGUCAUUUCACAACUCCACCAAAAACAGCAUGUCAAAACCCAUAGCCUACAGAGGCCUUAGACAUUGCUCAAGUAGGUAAAUCUUGCAGCAGAUUAUUAGUGUAACAUUUAUACAGAAAGUAAAAGGCAGGGUGCAUAGAACAACUGUAUUAUUUUGUUGUUUGAUGUGUAGAUUAUUUAAAUAUGCCAACAAUUAGUUGAUACGUUAGAGGAUUUGUGUUCAUUUUUAAUUGCAACUGGUGAGUUUGCUUUAUGAGAACUAACAAAAAUUAAGAUGUGUUUUGUUAAAGGGCACCUAUUAUGCAAAACUCACUUUUUUUCAUGUUUUUAAACUUACUUUUGGGUCACUACUGCUUAGAGAAGCAGUCCAAACACCAGAAAAAUGCACCCAGCCGUUGUUUUUUAGCUGUAAUUACAUGUAUUUUUAGGUAUCUAGAAACAUGGUAUUUCUCAAAGCACGUUAUUCUGACGUCACAAUAACAGUCACCUAGCAACCUAAACCAGAGUCCUGCUCCUCACAAGGCAACCGAGGUGAAGCUCCGCCCACUUCCUCAAGGGACGAUAGUUGUUCUGUUUUUACAGCAGCCACAGAGAACAGAGAUGCCUGGAUUAAUUUUAUUUUUAUCUUUGAUGACAAUGUUCUAACAAUAUUUCCAAAGAAAGCUGUAGUUUGUGAA
Austrofundulus limnaeus is the source of this 3194-nucleotide long non-coding RNA. RefSeq lists it as uncharacterized. Lineage: Eukaryota; Metazoa; Chordata; Actinopteri; Cyprinodontiformes; Rivulidae. The transcript is spliced from 2 exons. The record is from RefSeq and is a predicted model, not a curated record.